GCCUGGGUGGCUCAGUCGGUUAAGCGUCUGACUUCAGCUCAGGUCAUGAUCUCGCAGUCCAUGGGUUCAAGCCCCGUGUCGGGCU
This is a transfer RNA of Felis catus (domestic cat), 85 nucleotides long. It matches the Rfam family "tRNA". Rfam says of the family: Transfer RNA (tRNA) molecules are approximately 80 nucleotides in length. Their secondary structure includes four short double-helical elements and three loops (D, anti-codon, and T loops). The record is from Rfam. Lineage: Eukaryota; Metazoa; Chordata; Mammalia; Carnivora; Felidae.